GAUCAUUACAGUAAAAACAAGGUCGCGGCAGUUGCUGGCCCUCUGGGGCAUGUGCACGCCGCGGCCGCAUCCUUCUUACACCCCUGUGCACCUUUGCGUGGGGCGCCAUCGGCCGCCGCCUUUGGUGCUCUGCGUUUUAUCUACACACACCACGUAUGUCUACAGAAUGUCUACUUGCGAUAAAAAGCAAACUUAAUACAACUUUCAACAACGGAUCUCUUGGCUCUCGCAUCGAUGAAGAACGCAGCGAAAUGCGAUAAGUAAUGUGAAUUGCAGAAUUCAGUGAAUCAUCGAAUCUUUGAACGCACCUUGCGCCCCUUGGUAUUCCGAGGGGCACGCCUGUUUGAGUGUCGUGAACUUCUCACCCUCUACCUUUCUUUUUUGAACGGUGGUUGCGUGGACGUGGAGGCCUUGCCGGGAAACCAACCGCUCGCGGGAGGGAAUCGGCUCCUCUGAAAUGCAUUAGUGGAGACCCCAGUGUUGGCCUUUCGGUGUGAUAAUUGUCUACGCCGUGGGGUCGCGCAAAGUGGGACCUGCUUCUAACCUUUGCCACCUUUCGAGGUGUGCACUUUUAUCGAAACUUGACCUCAAAUCAGGCGGGACUACCCGCUGAACUUAAGCAUAU
This 625-nucleotide ribosomal RNA is filed under the name uncultured Artomyces. RNAcentral describes it as "eukaryotic LSU rRNA". The stretch from base 200 to 353 matches the Rfam family "5.8S ribosomal RNA". The record is from RNAcentral. Lineage: Eukaryota; Fungi; Basidiomycota; Agaricomycetes; Russulales; Auriscalpiaceae.